Non-coding RNA from Electrophorus electricus (electric eel), 3502 nucleotides. NCBI's taxonomy places the organism in Eukaryota, Metazoa, Chordata, Actinopteri, Gymnotiformes, Gymnotidae. The record is from RefSeq and is a predicted model, not a curated record.
CUGGGCUGAUGAGUGCGUAGCUAAGAUAGCUAUGUUAGGUUAACUGGCUACAUAUUUCUUUCUCAUAUGCUAUAUAAUUUUCCCCAACCCCGUGUAAAUUAGGAAACAAAAUGGCUAACGCGGUUUUAAAUGAGGUUGGUUGGGACGACGGUUUUGCCAUUCCAGUAGCUAAUGCAGAAAAUAAGGCUGUGGAGGAUGAGAUUAAAAGAAAACAAAAAGAGAAGUCAGAAGUGGAAAAUAAAUUAAGCAACUGCAAGGACAGAAUAAAUGCUAUGACUGAACAUCUUAAGAACGUCAGACAAGAACUUGGUCAUACUCAGGCACUGUGCAGGGCCAGAGAAAAAGAGAACGAGUCUGAGGUGCAUUUCAAAGCUUUGGCAGAAAGAGAAACGGGCCGUCUACGUCAGGAAAUUGCACAGCUGGAGAAUGAGCUGGGAUCACUUCGUGAAAAAAAGAACUCACAGGAGAACAACAUCUUCAAAGCCAACCAGAAGCUAGAGGAGCUGAAGAGCCAGUUGAACUGGGACCAACAGACCCUGGACGCUUGGUUGGAGGAGUCGGCGCGCAGGGACGAGGACACCAUGGCCAUCGCCAAGUACGCUCAGCAGGACGAAGGCAGGAUCCGAGAACUGACUCUAAGCAUUGAGAAGCUGACUCUGGAAGCUAACCAGAAGAGGAAGGCUUUGGACAGUGAGCUUACAGAGACUAUCACAGCACAGAUCAGCCUGGAUAAGAUUGCCGAGACAUUCCGGCAGGCCCAUGCAGAGAGGCAGGAGCUGCUUCGGCAGUGGGAGAGCACUAUUGAGCAGAUGAGGAGACGAGACCAGGAGAUGCAGCAGGGCACUAUGCUGUUGGCUGAGGCAAACCAGGCGAUCCGUCAGCGGCAGGCGCUGGUCCAGGAGAAGCAGAGUUUCCUGUCCAGCGAGGUGCAGAACAACAGGGACUGUGAGAGGAAGAUCUCAGCGACAGAGCGGCAGGCUGCCCAGCUCCGGCAGCAGUACCAGGAGCAGGAGAAUGACCGUGCCCGUCUGCGUGAUGAGCUGGAGACUCUGAAGGGCACAGUGGAUCGCACUGCUACAGAGGUGGAGGCCAUGAGGUCGCACGCAGCCAACCUGAAAAAGGAGCUCAACAAUAAAACCACAAAGCUGCAGGAUGCCCAGCAGCACAAUACCACCCUUGGCGAAAAGCUGCAGGCGGUGACGGAGGCAGCACUCAGUGUGGAGGAGCGGGCGGUGCAGAUGGAACAGCUGCUCCGGGACCAGGAGCAUACCAUCAAAGAGAUUGAAACUCAGCUGCAACGACAACGUGAGGUCCUUUUCCGAAAGAGUCAGGAACUGCAGGCUCUGAGAGCGAAUGAGAAGAGUGCAGUGGCAGAGCUGUCUGGCAGCCAGACCAUUCUCUCCAACCUGGAGAGCCGUCUCAGCAAACUGGACCAGAAUGCCCUCAAGCAGCAAGAGAUCAUCCACAACCAGGACUUCCAAAUCCAGGUGCUGGAGAGGAAGAUGGCACGUCUGUGUGGCGAACUUGGCACAGAGGAGAAGGAAACACUGGAGAAGCGCACAGCUGAGCUUAUGAAGGCACUGGAGGAGAAGAGGAAGACAGCAGCCACACUCACCAUCCAGCUCAAGAGGGUCCAGGAUGACAUUCGCUGUGUGAGGAAGGAGAUGGAGAAGACCAGAGCGGAAAAGAGAAACCUAACGACAAGGAUAGAGGAGCUGCAUCUUUUCAAUGACACCUCUGACAAAGAGCUGAAGAAACUCUGUCUUAAGAAACAGGACCGCAUGGUGGAGGAUAACCUCCUGAAACUGGAGACCAAGCGCCUGAGUGAGCUGCUGAGCGGCAGGGCAGAUGGCGUCCUCUCGCUGGAGAGGAGGCGCCUGCAGCUGCAGACAGCCAUGCGGGAGCGACAGGAGGAGAUCCGGCUGCACACGGAGAUGCUCGCCAAGCAGCUCAGGACCACUGAUCAGGAGCGCCAGAUGCUCAGUGCUGAGGUGCAUGAGCGACUGUCCAAAAUCGACAAGAUGAAAAAGAGAUAUGAGAUCCUGACUGUCGCCAUGGCAGCACCAGAGGGAGAGGAAGAGAAAUCUCAGGCCUAUUAUGUAAUAAAGGCAGCUCAGGAAAAGGAGGAACUUCAACGUGAGGGCGACAAUUUGGACGCCAAGAUCCGCAAGAUGGAGAAAGAGAUCAAAGCCUUGGAGAACACUCUCCACGUGGUCAAUGACCACAACACUACCUAUCGCAAAUCCUUCAGCAAGGUCACAGAGUCCUGUCCUGAGUAUCAGGAGAAGCUGAGGUUGCAGGAGCAGAAAAGGGCAGCUGAAGAGAAGUACAAGUUCAAAAGACGCCAAAUCAGAGAGCUACAGGAAGACAUUGAGGGCAUGGACAGCUCUUUGAACAACCUUCUGAAGGAAGAAGCUGCUCAGAGUGAGAAAACCAAUGAUGUGCAAGCACGCAUUCUUGCUCUGAGCAAAGACCUCACUUCCCAGCAAGACAAACUGGACAGGGUUGCCAAACAGUGCAAAAGGCUCACAAAGGAAAUUCGUUCAGCCAAAAAGACCAGGGAGGAGACAUUUGAGGAACAGGACAUUGAGCUGAGAGGACUGAAGGACUGCAAUAAGACUAUCAGCAAGAUGCUUCUAGAAGUCAUGGAGCAGCAACCUGACCUCCAGGCUACACUGCAGAUGUACUUCAUACAGGCCAACAUACCACUUUCAUCUCCUGCCUCUACCCCCUCUAGCCGCCAGAGUUCAAAGACAAGCUCAGCGCGCAGUUCUGCGUCUCUCAGUCAGUACAGGUACCACCUCUCCCACUACCAGUGCGAGCAACACCACCAACUCCACCUCUCCUUCUACCUUUGCCAUUACCACCACCUCUACAUCAACUGUGCCCAUCACACCCCCUAAGACCGCAACACAGUGGCCAGCCUUCCCUGUGGUGGCUGGAUUGCGGGCUAUAGUCCGCGCUAAUGUGGAGCUAAAUUCAACUUUAAUCGACUCUACCAUACAGCAGCUCUUACUAUACUUGCCACCACACAGCAUUCGUGUCACUGUAAAAAGCUUUAAGAAGGUAUGAGGACCUACAAUAGUGCCAUAUUCAGACCUAAUUUGUAUCCUGUUUAUUACUCUUAACAUUGGAAAUUGUUGUUAUGCCCUUUACUGUUGCUAUUUGCAUAUAUAUAACAUUUAAACAUUGUACAUAUAAUGUAAUACAAUAAAUAGUACUAAACUAUGUGUUUUUAAAAGCAAAUUAAUAUUAAGGCAUGUGUAUUUGAUUAUUCCACAGAUUAAGACUCAUUUUCUUCUUUGCAUUUAUGUGUCAUGGCAAACAUACUUCCAUAAAAUGAGCCCAUUUUAUACAAUGGUUUUCAAGCUGUGGGCUGCAGUGGUACUGCUAGGGGGCCAUUGGCCAAAAGUUUAUUUUUUCUGUUUUGCAAAGUAAAAAUCCUUCCAAUAUAUACAGAUAUUUCAACAAAUGUAAUUUCAGAUAUGAGAUAUUAUGUAGA